This 3200-nucleotide long non-coding RNA is filed under the name Equus caballus (horse). RNAcentral describes it as "lncRNA (ENSECAG00000055937.1)". Lineage: Eukaryota; Metazoa; Chordata; Mammalia; Perissodactyla; Equidae. The record is from RNAcentral.
GAGACCACGGAAUUCCAAAUGGUGCUGACCACUCAACGUUUCAUUGUCUAAAUCCAUUCUCCUCGGCGACAGCCAAGAAAUUGCCAGUGAGGAACACAUUCUACCUGACACUAAAGAGGCCCGAGUCAGUGCCAGAUCCUUAAACUGCAAAGUGAGUGCAGGUUGAAAGGGAUGUUUCUGCUCUUGUCAUUAUCACUCACUUGCAAGGGUACACAAGGUACCCUCGUCCAUCUAUACAUACAACUAUAAGCAAAUCAUACAGCUAUAAGCAAAGGGAGGCUAAAAUGGAUACCCUCUGAGCUGCAUUCUAUCGCUAUGUCUAUGGCUUCAGAUGGUUGGUCAUAUUUAUCCACUUUUGGGUUCCUUGGCUUCAGGCAUGGUUGACUCUUGGUCACGGGCUGUUCCGUCUGUUCCUCCAACAGUUAAUUCUCAUUCUCCUUCACCCACCUGCACGGCAAUAGCUUUGCCCCUAACUAUGGAUCAGAAGAGGAUCAUUCAAGCCUGAGAAACCUCCUUGGUCCGAGGGCUGUUGAAAGAUAUUCACAGCCAAGGAUCCCGGACCUAAACAAAUCAGAGUCUCCAUGGCUAUAAUUUGGAGGCUGAGAACUGUCACUUUCACAUUUCUUUGAGCCAGUUGUCCAAGGAAACUCAAAGGGCACUUCUCGGAAAAACGGGAAGUUUCUAUUCCAUCACGAAGUUCUUGCUCAUCACAGGUCUGAAUUUACACCAGGAAAGUUGAGGCAAACCAAGGACAGUCACUUCAUGAACCUUCACCAUCAGGCCCAUCUAUGACACAGAUGACCCGGUGGCAAUGACAAGGUGUCCUCUAACCAACAGGAGGGAACCUCCAGCUCAGGAUGGAGCUGACACCAGCAAGGGGCCUGCCCAACAUGGCUGGGUGGCCCACACCAAGUCCACACACUCGUGGUAGAUUCUGGAGUCAAGGUAAGGAAGAAAGACUUCACCAGGGAACAAUGGCGCCCACAGUGAUGGCGAAGGAAACUCAGACUGAAGUCCUGCACUCCCUCCAAGACAGACUUCCUUAUUCACUCCCCCAGUUGCCAGUCACUCUCACCUGAGGACCAUUCAGAAUUUAUCAGAGAAGGAAACUGAUGGGGACCUCUGGGAGACUGGGCAGGUUAGCCCAUUGGCUUUCUUCCCUCUGGGCUGUGGGGUCUGAGGUUCAGUUUCCAAUGUUGGUUGUCUCAAGUAGAAGCCAAUUCUGCCCCUCCGAGCCCCAGCCUCUUGUGCCCAGAUGCCAUGUGCGGUUCCUUGCCAACCUCUAUAUUCAAGACACGGCUUCGAGGCUCUCUAAACAAGAUGGUCAGGAGUUAAGCAGAGAGAACAUGAAUGAAGGGAGCUAAAGAGGAAAAAGCAAGAAAUUUUAUUUGAGGUGUAAGAAGUCACUAGAUCACAAAUCAUGAUUCCCGCUAAUCUAGUGCAGCUUUGAUUUGCCCGAGAAAGCUCAUUGUUGGCCCUUCCAGUGAGGUCUCCCAGGCUUCUCCAUGGAGACUUUUUUUCCUCUCAGAGUGAGAAGCCAGAAAAGCAUACAAUAGUAGCAGCAUAAACAACUUUUCCAAGAUCAAACCUAGAUUAUAGAUGUCGUUCCUUCCACCUGAAAUCAACUCUUGUCAAUAAGAGGUCCCUCUCAAAUAUUGCAUCUCCAAGAGUCCCCUCCCCAGGGACCAAAAGAAAAAAAAGCCACCUGGCUAGCCAAAAGCAACUGAGUUUUUUAUGGAAUAAAAUUUAAAAACUCGUAUGUGCCACAACUCUCAGAACCUGUACUUCUGGAGGUCAACUCCAAACGCAAAAGAUGACACAAAGCUGGUGACCUUGGAGGUCUGACCAGACUCACAGAAAAGGGAGCCAGAGUUCUUUCAAUGCGGUCAGAAAGCUCUGCAUUUGUAGACUGGAGAUGUUCCCAAGGCUUUCUUCCCUCCCAAACUUAGAGCUAUCCCUCUACAUGGAAUUCCUGAUGAGCCCAUUGGCCUCCUGUUUGAUUGCUUGUCUGAACUGACAUUCUUUUGGUUGAGUGCACCUGGGGUUUGAGCACCCAAGAAACUGGGGUUUCCCAGGAUGAGCAUUAAGGGCAGUGAAGGAGGGGGCAGUUCCAGCCCAGGGAGAACAGCAGUACCAAUUUCACCGAAGUAAAGCACCAGAGUUGUUCUCAGCUCUAUCCCAAGUACCCCCAAGGAGCGGGUUCUCUGUCUUCAGGAAAAAGGCCCAAUGGCCCAGGGAAACCAGCAGACCCCAAAACUCUUCUCACCUAAAUGCCUAACAAGCAUUUGUCUGUAACAUCUCCUUGGGGGCAGAGGCAGAUAGAGAUCUGAUUUCUGGCCUGAUGCUGAUCAACUCAUCCAGACCAAUGAGGUUUUAAGACUAGGAAGUGGGGAAUCAUGAGGGAAGAAGAACUGACUCAGUUAUGCCACCCGCUGGUUCUGAAUCUAAGCCAGAGCUCACAUGGCCUUGUACUCAAGGAGAACCAGAACAUGUUCAGGGGGAAGUUCUAAGACACUACUGAGAAGUCGAGUUGGGUGGCUGAGAUGUGUUUUUGCCAAUUCAAAGCCAGGUCCUGCCUGAACGAGUGCCAGCUUAGAGCGCCACAUCAAAGGUCCGAUUGCCUACUUUUCCCAAUGACUUUUCCAGGUCUGGACCCACCCAGUAGCCACCAGAGGGCUUGACUGGGAUUCGAAAGUCAGGGCCUUGGUGACCAUCCCUUUAGGAUGGACGCUCAUUGUCACUCUGGUGAGGUCACCACCUCACCUGAUCAUAUAGGGCAAUGCUUGGGCUGGAACAAAAGGCCAGACAAAGCUGACAGAGCCUGAUUAAGGCUGGCCAAAUCCCCCUGUCAUCCAAGAAGACGGCAGGAGAAUAACCAUUUUACUCGAUGCCUUCAUCUUGAUAUAAUCCCCAAGAACACAUUAGCGUCUGACCAGGAACUCAGUUUACAGUGGGAAAUCAUGCAAAGCAAUCAUGGCUCACUGGCUGUUGGCACCAAAGCUCUCUCAGGAAGUGAGAGAAACUAUCGAUUCUGGAGAGACCUGGCAGAAUGAGCUUUCACUGCUUGUUAAGAAUUUGUAUUUAAGUGACUAGAUAAUUCUAUACUUACUGCAAUUCUGUGUAAUUUUGUUUAUUGAAAAGGUAUGUGGCCCAGAGCAUUGAACCCAUCCGGCACCCAUGUUCAUUUCCAAGUAUUCCCC